RNAcentral lists this ribosomal RNA (194 nucleotides) under uncultured bacterium. Its description in RNAcentral is "partial 16S ribosomal RNA". It matches the Rfam family "Bacterial small subunit ribosomal RNA", at positions 339 to 525 of the family's 1533-position model. The record is from RNAcentral.
CUACGGGAGGCAGCAGUAGGGAAUCUUCCACAAUGGGCGCAAGCCUGAUGGAGCAACGCCGCGUGUGUGAUGAAGGGUUUCGGCUCGUAAAACACUGUUAUAAGAGAAGAACGGCACUGAGAGUAACUGUUCAGUGUGUGACGGUACCAUACCAGAAAGGGACGGCUAAAUACGUGCCAGCAGCCGCGGUAAUA